Long non-coding RNA from Oxyura jamaicensis (ruddy duck), 472 nucleotides. RefSeq lists it as uncharacterized. The transcript has 4 exons. NCBI's taxonomy places the organism in Eukaryota, Metazoa, Chordata, Aves, Anseriformes, Anatidae. The record is from RefSeq and is a predicted model, not a curated record.
GGAGCCAAGAAGAAAAUGAAGAUCAAAUAUUUCUAAUAGAAGAAAGCAACAACAGUGUUUAGCUUGAGAUCUCACAUAAAAAACAGCAAACCCCACACAUCCUUUGCAAUCUGAACAGUUGUGGAAUGGACUGUAGAAUAAAAAAUAGUUCAUGGAACACAUCAACAAAUAACUUUGCCCAUUUUUGAGAACAUGACUUUUUAAUGCUGGCCUUACUGGGGAAGCUGAGCUCCUGGAAAUGUAACAAUAGUGAAGGAAAGAAAACCAGCACUGCAUUUAAUUAUCCUGUGAUUCCAGGUGGCCUACACUUCUCCAUGCCUGUUAGCCACUGAAUGCUAUCGGAACUGCUUAGCUGAAAGCUGCCUUUGCAUGUUGAUGGGCAUCGCAAAUACUCCUGCAGAGUUGUCUUUCAUGUCAAGACAAUAUCAAGCACACUAAAACAUCACCAUAUGUCCUUCCCUCCACUUCUCCC